UUCUUUAAGUCUUAAUUUAAAGUAAAACCUGCUCAAUGAAAUUAAUCAAUAGCCGCAGUUAACUGUGCUAAGGUAGCAUAAUCAUUAGCUUUUUAAAUGAAAGAUAGAAUGAAUGGUAAUAUGAAUAAUAAUAUGUCUCUAAAAUUUUUUAUAAAUUUAAAAUAAAAGUCAAAAUUCUUUUAAAAAUAAGAAAGACGAUAAGACCCUAAUAAACUUUAUAUUUAGCUGGGGCGGCAAUUUAAAAAAACCUUAAAAUAAAUUUACAUAAACUCUAAUUUAAUUAAUUAAUUAAGUUACUAUAGGGAUAACAGCGCAAUCUUUUUCUAAAGUUCUAAUAAAAAAAAAGACUUACGACCUCGAUGUUGAAUUAAUAUUCUUUAAAAUUAACGCAAAAGUUAUAAAAGAUAGUCUGUUCGACUAUUAAAUAAUU
RNAcentral lists this ribosomal RNA (430 nucleotides) under Carapoia sp. Br15-48. RNAcentral's name for it is "partial 16S ribosomal RNA". The record is from RNAcentral. Lineage: Eukaryota; Metazoa; Arthropoda; Arachnida; Araneae; Pholcidae.